Ovis aries (sheep) is the source of this 71-nucleotide transfer RNA. It matches the Rfam family "tRNA". From Rfam's summary of the family: Transfer RNA (tRNA) molecules are approximately 80 nucleotides in length. NCBI's taxonomy places the organism in Eukaryota, Metazoa, Chordata, Mammalia, Artiodactyla, Bovidae. The record is from Rfam.
UCCUAGGUGGCUCAGUGGCAAAGAAUCUGCCUGCCAAGCAGAAGAUGUGGGUUCCAUUCCUGGGUUGGGAA